AGAGUUUGAUCCUGGCUCAGGACGAACGCUGGCGGCGUGCUUAACACAUGCAAGUCGAACGAAGAGCGAUGGAAGCUUGCUUCUAUCAAUCUUAGUGGCGAACGGGUGAGUAACGCGUAAUCAACCUGCCCUUCAGAGGGGGACAACAGUUGGAAACGACUGCUAAUACCGCAUACGAUCCAAUCUCGGCAUCGAGACUGGAUGAAAGGUGGCCUCUAUUUAUAAGCUAUCACUGAAGGAGGGGAUUGCGUCUGAUUAGCUAGUUGGAGGGGUAACGGCCCACCAAGGCGAUGAUCAGUAGCCGGUCUGAGAGGAUGAACGGCCACAUUGGGACUGAGACACGGCCCAGACUCCUACGGGAGGCAGCAGUGGGGAAUCUUCCGCAAUGGACGAAAGUCUGACGGAGCAACGCCGCGUGAGUGAUGACGGCCUUCGGGUUGUAAAGCUCUGCUAAUCGGGACGAAUGGUUCUUGUGCAAAUAGUGCGAGGAUUUGACGGUACCGGAAUAGAAAGCCACGGCUAACUACGUGCCAGCAGCCGCGGUAAUACGUAGGUGGCAAGCGUUGUCCGGAAUUAUUGGGCGUAAAGCGCGC
Molecule: ribosomal RNA, 593 nt
Filed under: uncultured bacterium
Lineage: Bacteria
Description: bacterial SSU rRNA
Rfam family: Bacterial small subunit ribosomal RNA
Source: RNAcentral